This 276-nucleotide ribosomal RNA is filed under the name uncultured Synechococcus sp. RNAcentral's name for it is "partial 16S ribosomal RNA". It matches the Rfam family "Bacterial small subunit ribosomal RNA", at positions 1260 to 1533 of the family's 1533-position model. The record is from RNAcentral. Lineage: Bacteria; Bacillati; Cyanobacteriota; Cyanophyceae; Synechococcales; Synechococcaceae.
AGGACAAGCAAAUCCCAUAAACCGUGGCUCAGUUCAGAUCGUAGGCUGCAACUCGCCUACGUGAAGGAGGAAUCGCUAGUAAUCGCAGGUCAGCAUACUGCGGUGAAUACGUUCCCGGGCCUUGUACACACCGCCCGUCACACCAUGGAAGUUGGCCACGCCCGAAGCCGUUACUCCAACCCUUGUGGAGGAGGACGUCGAAGGUGGGGCUGAUGACUGGGGUGAAGUCGUAACAAGGUAUCCGUACCGGAAGGUGCGGAUGGAUCACCUCCUAAC